Molecule: ribosomal RNA, 3607 nt
Filed under: Epichloe brachyelytri E4804
Lineage: Eukaryota; Fungi; Ascomycota; Sordariomycetes; Hypocreales; Clavicipitaceae
Description: eukaryotic LSU rRNA
Rfam family: Eukaryotic large subunit ribosomal RNA
Source: RNAcentral
AAAACUUUUAAUAAUAGAUCUCUUAGUUCUAGUAUUAAUAAAGAACGCAGCAAAAUACAAUAAGUAAUGUAAAUUAUAGAAUUUAGUGAAUUAUUAAAUCUUUAAACAUAUAUUAUGCCUACUAGUAUUCUAGUAGGCAUGCCUAUUUAAGCGUUAUUUUAACCCUUAAGCCUACUAUAUACUUAGUAUUAGGGACUAGCCUACCUGCCUUAUAGUAGUAGCUACCCCUAAAAUAAAUUAGUAGUCUUAUUUACAGCCUCCCUUAUAUAAUAAUAUACUACCUUAUAACUAGGAGCGCAGUGUGGUUACUACUAUAAAAUACCUAACUUCUCUAAGAGUUAACCUUAAAUUAGGUAGGAAUACCCGCUAAACUUAAGUAUAUUAAUAAGUAAAGGAAAAGAAACUAAUAGGGAUUACCCUAGUAAUAGUAAGUAAAGUAGUAAUAGCUUAAAUUUAAAAUCUAGCCCCUAGGGCCUAAGUUAUAAUUUAUAGAGAAUGCUUUUAGUAAGGCGCCUUCUAAGUUCCCUAGAAUAGGACGCCACAGAGGGUAAGAGCCCUGUCUAGUUAGAUACUAAGCCUCUAUAAAGCUCCUUUAAUAAGUUAAGUAGUUUAGAAAUGCUACUCUAAAUAAGAGGUAUAUGUCUUCUAAAGCUAAAUAUUAGCUAGAGACUAAUAGCGUAUAAGUAAAGUAAUUAAAAGAUAAAAAGCACUUUAAAAAGAGGGUUAAAUAGUAUAUAAAAUUAUUAAAAGGGAAGCGCUUAUAACUAGACUUAGGCCUAGUAAAUUAUCUAGCGUUCUUACUAGUGCACUUUACUAGGCUUAGGCUAGCAUUAGUUUACCCUAGGGGAUAAAGGCUCUAGGAAUAUAGCUUCUCUAGGAGUGUUAUAGCCCUUUACGUAAUGCCCUAGGGUAGACUAAGGUUUACGUAUCUAUAAGGAUACUAGCGUAAUAGUUAUUAGUAACCUAUCUUAAAACAUAGACUAAGGAGUUAUCCUUAUAUAUAAGUGUUUAGGUGUAAAACCCCUAUAUAAAAUAAAAGUAAACGUAGGUAAGAGCUUUAGCAUAUUAUUAACUAAUCCUAAUGUUCUUAGAUAAAUUUAAGUAGGAGCAUAUAGGGCUAGACCUAAAAGAAGGUAAACUAUACCUAUAUAGGGUAAAGCUAGAGGAAACUCUAGUAGAGGCUUAUAGUGGUUCUAAUGUAUAAAUUAAUUAUUAAAUAUAGGUAUAGGGGCAAAAGACUAAUUAAACCUUCUAGUAGCUAGUUUUUACUAAAGUUUCCCUUAGGAUAGUAGUGUUAAUCUUAGUUUUAUAAGGUAAAGCAAAUAAUUAGGAACUUAGGGGCUAUAUAUUGCCUUUAUUUAUUCUUAAACUUUAAAUAUAUAAGAAGCCCUUAUUACUUAAUUAAAUAUAAGCAUUUAAAUAUAUUAACACUAGUAGGCUAUUUUUAGUAAGCAAAACUAGUAAUGUGGGAUAAACUAAACGCGAGGUUAAGGUACUAAAGUAAACGCUUAUUAGAUACCACAAAAGGUAUUAGUAUAUCUUAAUAGUAGGAUAGUGGCUAUAGAAGUUAGAAUCCGCUAAGGACUAUAUAAUAACUUACCUACUAAAUAUACUAGCCCUAAAAAUAAAUAGUGCUUAAGCGUCUUACCUAUACCUUACCCUUAGGGUAAAAACAAAGCCCUAAGGAGUAGGUAAAUAUAAGGGUUAGUAAUAAAGCCUAGGGCGUAAGCCUAGGUUAAAUAGCCUCUAGUGUAGAUCUUAGUAGUAGUAGUAAAUACUUUAAUAAGAACUUAAAGGACUAAAGUAAGGAAAGGUUCUAUAUAAACAGUAGUUAGAUAUAGGUUAGUUAAUCCUAAGCUAUAGGGAAGUUCCGUUUUAAAGGUGCACUUAUACGCUAUCUAGUAAAAGGGGAGCUAGUUAAUAUUCUAGCACCUAGAUAUAGGUUUUAUAUAGUAAUGUAACUAAACGUAGAGAUAAUAGUAGGGGCCUUAAGUAGAGUUCUCUUUUUUUCUUAAUAGUCUCUUACUCUAAAAUUAGUUUAUCUAGAGAUAGAGUUUAAUAGCUAGAAAAGCCUAGUACCUUUACUAGGUUUAGUACACUUCUAAUAUCCCUUAAAAAUCCGUAGGAAGGAAUAAUUCUCACGCUAGGUUAUACUUAUAACCACAGUAGGUCUCUAAGGUAAAUAGCCUCUAGUUAAUAGAAUAAUGUAAAUAAGGGAAGUUAGCAAAAUAGAUUUAUAACUUUAGGAAAAGGAUUAGCUCUAAGGGUUAGGUAUAUUAAGCCUUAGGGAGAUGCCCUAGGAGUAGGCAGCUACUAGCUAGGUAACUAGCUAGUGGUAGCUAGCAUCUAGGUGCUAAUGCCCUUAGUAGGCCUUGGCUGUCUAGCGCACGAUUAAUAACUAACUUAAAACUAGUAUAAAUAAGGGGAAUCUAACUAUCUAAUUAAAAUAUAGCAUUAUAAUAGCUAGAAAGUGGUAUUAAUAUAAUGUGAUUUCUGCCUAGUACUCUAAAUAUUAAAGUAAAGUAAUUUAACUAAGCGUAGGUAAAUAGCAGGAGUAACUAUAACUCUCUUAAGGUAGCUAAAUGCCUUAUUAUCUAAUUAGUAACGCGUAUAAAUAGAUUAACAAGAUUCCCACUAUCCCUAUUUACUAUCUAGCAAAACUAUAGCUAAGGGAAUAGGCUUAGUAGAAUUAGCGGGGAAAGAAAACCCUAUUAAGCUUAACUCUAGUUUAAUAUUAUAAAAAGACAUAGGAGGUAUAGAAUAGGUAAGAGCUUUAGCGCUAGUAAAAUACUACUACUCCUAUUGUUUUUUUACUUAUUUAAUAAAGUAAGGCUAGAUUUUUGUCUAACUUCUAGUUUUAAGGUCCUUUAUAGGCUAACCUAGGUUAAAGAUAUUAUUAGGUAAGGAGUUUAGCUAAGGUAGUAUAUCUAUUAAACUAUAACGUAGGUGUCCUAAGGGGGGCUUAUAGAGAAUAGAAAUCUCUAGUAAAAUAAAAGGGUAAAAGUCCCCUUAAUUUUAAUUUUUAGUGUAAAUAUAAACCAUAAAAGUGUGGCCUAUUAAUCCUUUAGUCCCUUAAUAUUUAAGGCUAGAGGUGCUAGAAAAGUUACUAUAGGGAUAAGUAACUUGUGGCGGCCAAGUGUUUAUAGUGACGUCGCUUUUUAAUCCUUUAAUAUUAGCUCUUCCUAUUAUACUAAAGUAGAAUUUAGUAAGCGUUAGAUUAUUUACCUACUAAUAGGGAACGUAAGCUAGGUUUAGACUGUUAUAAAAUAGGUUAGUUUUACCUUACUAAUAACCUCACUGUAAUAGUAAUUUAGCUUAGUAUAAGAGAAACCGCUAAUUUAGAUAAUUAGUUUUUGUGGCUAUCUAACUAGGUAGUGCCACAAAGCUACUAUCUACUAGAUAAUAGCUAAAUGCCUCUAAGUUAGAAUCUAUGCUAGAACGCGGUAAUACUGCCCGUAUAUAUAGAUAGAUAAGAAUAGGCUCUAGCUUAGUGUCUUAGUAAGUAAUCUCUUUACUACGUAGGAAGCGCGUUAUAGUAUUUCGCGUAUUAUAAUUUUAAUAUAAGUAGGGUUAAAUCCUUUGUAAAUAACUUAGCUAUGCAAAAUAG